AGCGGCGCUCAACUUACGGCGAUCCGCCGCGUUAUAACCGCCGAACGUUCAGUACGCCAAACGACACUGAUAUCUCGGCACGUCAACUGCGUUCGCCGUUACCUCGACGAUUCCCCUUUUCCCUCCCGGCAGCGGCACGCGUUGCCGCCGCUAUUGCACCAGCACUCACAAACGCACCACCACGCACAAAUUCAUUACACUGCACGACCGUAAUAAAUAAUACAAUAAGACUGUUCCACAAUCUUUGACGUAUUGCACUAGAUUGAAUUACAAUAUAAAUAUUUACACUGAUUCAACUCGUACACUCAUCCUUUACUUACAAUCAUUAACUUUUGCACGCUUUAAGAAAAUUAGCACAAACCAACAACAACAGCAUUACACCGCCUACUUGGAGAAGCACUUUUCUGUUGAUUUUAUAGAACAACAACAUAUCCCACAAGAAGUGACGUCGCUCACCUAUCAAAAAUCGGGCGUGCAAAAAACGGAGGAGAUGCAUUUAAUGAUGAUGAUAUUUAGUAUGGCCGUGUAUUUAAUUUUCAUUCUUGUCAAACGUUCGGGUGCCAUGACACAUCCAAGAGUGAAAAUGUACGGACCUAAAGUUACUAUUGUAGAUCACCGAAAUCCGGAUCCCACUAUAAUUCCGCUGGACAUUAUUGAGGAAGCUAAAACAUUGAGUCAGUCAGAGCCAUACGCAAAUGAACCAUCUUGUCUAGAGUUACGAAUAAUGUGGCGUUUAUCACAGAGACAAAAGCAAUUACUACAGACAGCAAAUAAUAAUAUACCAGAUACUACUGAUCUUUUUUCAUACAGCAUAUGGGAUGAUUACACAAAACCAAGGUAUUCUAAUCGUCAAAGAUCAUUGAUAAUGGGACGAUCGCUGGCCGACAGAUAUCAAGUUUAUUCACAAAUGAGGCCUUUCGACAAAGUUGCCCGUUUAUCGGGUACAUCAAGAAAAUUCAUGGACGAUCAAAUGUCCAGAAAAGUAAAUUUGUUUCGAUUAGGUUAUCCUAUAUCGAAAAUGCCUGGUUCUGCUAUGCGUUUAACGACCAAAGACAGGUUUCAAGAGCUAAAGGAGCUGAUUCGUCACGAGAAAGCCAAACAAUACCAAAGUAGUGGUACUGGUGGCAAUGGUAGUGAGAAUACAGACGGCGAUUCAAUUCCCGUCAUACCUCUUACCGAUCUUAGUCCUAAUAGUCCUGGUAACAAACGGCCUGGGUACCAGACACUAAUGUCGCAUCCCAGACAUUUCUCAUAUGGACAGUUUGGAAAAGCGACUAAUAAUAAAGUCGAUGACAAACUUUCCACGGCUUCUCCACCUCAGUAUAAAACAUCACCGCAAAACAGUCCAUGGAAUUCUAGAUGGUAAUCAUUAACUGGAAAAAACAAGAUUGCGCUGACAGUGAGGCCUAUGAUACACCGCUAUGUAAAUAAUCAAUACCCUUUCCGUAUACAUAUUAUUAUUAUUAAAAACAUUAUAUCUCCGACAGUUAUGCCAAAAAAUGAAAAGUCGUAACUAGGUCUUGGCAAAACUGACCUAGGUCAGACGCACAACAAACAAAGGGGCAUUAAACUCAAAUUAAAUUUACAUAUAUAUAUAUAGGGAAAUACUUUUAACGCUAGCCACUCGAUUUAUCUUAAAAUAAUAAUUUUUUAUUUUUGUAUUUUGUAAGUUACUCAUGUAUUUAUAUGUUAUUAAAUAAUUUUUAUGUCCAUUCUUUAUAUAUUAUAGGGGUGUCAACUCUAAAUUUUUUUAAGGCAACAUACUUAUUCUACUAGAUUAUUAAAUAAAAAAUGAUCUAAUCAAAAAAAUGAUUGGUCAUUAGCAACUUUUCGUGUAAUAUUUGAAAGUUAUUAACAUUUUUUAAUAUAGACUGGAGGUGAAGAAUUUCGCUAUUUUAUCCUUAAUCAUUUCUCGUAUGCUCUCCUCUUAUUUAGAUGCAAAAUUGUGAAUAUCUCCCGAAGUACUGAUCCAAAUGUUAUUACCGAUCAAUCAUUUUCUUAAUAAGAUUAUUUUCAAAUUAUAGGCUAGUUAAAUAUGUAUGAUGUCAUUAGAAAAAAUAAAGUUCACACCUCUGUAAUAAAUAACAGAUGAACAUAAAAAAUAUCCAAUAACAGAUAAAUGAAGAUUCAUAUGUAGCUAAUAAAAGCUAUAAUAAAAUUCCCCAAAAAAUUAUUAUUUUAAUGGCUAACGUUAAAAGAAUCACUCUAUUUAUAUAUAUACAUAGAGAGUUUUGACAAAUCCAAUAACUUUCCAUUCAAGAAUAUUUUGUAUCACUUUGUUUUUUAUAAUUUAAGCAUUUUUGGACUACAUUGAUAUCAUAUUUUGUACUAUUUAAUUUUAAUUUUAAAAUGUUUUCAUCAUUUCAAAAUAACUAUUUUUUAAACCUUUCUUAUUAAUUCUUAUGAUGAGUCGAUAACAACUUAAGGAUAAAUAUUUAAUUAGUUAUAUGCAUUUUUGUACAUAGAGUAGGCAUGUAAUGUAUGUAUGACUAUGCUAUAUACUCUAUGUAAUGAAAUGUUUGUAACUCAAUAAGUAUUUAUCCUUAAGUUGUAAGAAACCCAUCAAAAUUUUCUGUAAGAAAUGAAAAACAUGGCUAUUUUUAAAUUUUGAAAAAUUUUAUUUAUUUUUUUUUUAUUAUUAGAGAUAAAUAAUAAAAAAUAUACUUUUAAUGAAGCCCAACAAAGGUAAAUAUUAUUAAAAAAAAAAAUAAUAACUCAAAAUAUUUGUUGGAUCACAAGUUUGAUGUCAACACCUGGUGUCCCACUUUAUAUUUAUAAAAGUGAAAAUGUAAUAAAUGCUUAGGUGCGCUGUUGAAACUUACUACGGCUCUGAUUAUUUCAUAGUAUUGUUAAUUUAAUAAUGUAAUAAUUAUUUUAUUAUAUUUAGAUCUUAAUAAUAUUACUUCAUUUAUUUGUAGUAUAAUCUUUAAUUUUUAGAUCAACUUCAGACAGACAUUGAUUAAUCAAAAAAUUAAUACUUUUUUUUUUUUAAAUAUUUUUUUCUAAUUAUUUUUAAUUUCAAUUCCAUGAAAAAUUAUAUGUAGUGCUAUUUUUAGCUCAGUGACAUAUUAAAAAUAUACAUUUAUACAUACAACUUAUAUUCCCUAUAUAUAUAUUAAAUUAUAACAAACUUCCUUUUUUUAAAUAUCCUAAUGAUUAUAAAAUAUUUACUUGUCAUAUCUAUCAACAUAUCCCAAAGUAACUAUAUCUUAUCAAAUAUCCUAGUAGCACGGGGCAGUACCGGGAAGGGUUUAGAAAUACCUGAAUGAUCAGUUAAACAGUUACAAUAAGUUCCAAAUUAAUACACAUGAUUCCUAAAAGUUCCAACGGGUAGUAAGUUUUGCGACAAUUGUCCGAGGACGAGUAGUUUUGGAAAAGAUUCAAAAUUUUCCAUUUUGCUUCCUGUUUACUUUUAUUAGAGAGGUUAAAGAAUAUUCUAAAACGUUUAAUAGCAGCCUUUUUUUUAAUGGUGGAUAUUAGGAAACUUUUUUAUCUUCAUAUUUACUUAUUUAUUAGAUAUAUUUAUAAGAUUUAUUAUACCAUUUAUUAAAUACUCAACUUUCUGCUAAAGUAGCUAACAGGAACUUCCGAGGGAAGCUCAAUGCUACUAGGACACUAAUUAAAUUAACUAAUUAAUUAAUUAUAAUAAUAUUUACAUUUCUUUUAACACAUCCACAUUGGCUAUCAAUAUUUCGAACAUUUUCCCACAAACAUUUGCAUAUAUCUAGUAAAUAAAACAAACUCAAACUUUAAGUCUGAAUAAUUUAAAUAGACUUAUUAACUACAGUGUUAAAUUUCAAAUUAUCUAUUUUACCGAAUUUAAAAUUAAAGUUUUUGUACAAACCUUUAUUUUUAAUUCAUAUGUAUGUAUUUAUUGAAUAUUUUAAUAGUCUGAAGUUGAUAUUUUAAUUAUAAUAUUACACAUAUGUACCACACUAUACAUUAUUAGUAUAUACAGUACAUACAUACUAUACAAAAUGUAAAGGAGUAUGUAUAUACAAAAUAUACAGUAUUUAUAUAUUGUUAUUAUAGAUAAUUUUAAUAAUAAUUAUUUAUUACAUAAAUUUUACGUUAUUUUUAAAAAUGUUUACGUAUCUGUGAUUGCAAGGUAUUGUUUCGAUUAUAUGUUUAAUUGAAAUGUUCGGCGGUGAGGGUAUAGUUAAAUAACAAAUUGUGUACUAUGCAAUGAGAGCAUACGUUUUAUUAUAUUUUAAGUAGCUGAGUAUAUAUAUUUACAUUUUUACUAUAAGAUCUAAAAGUUGUAAUUUUAGAUUUAAUAGAUAUAUUGUAUAAUGUUCAUUAUUAAUGUAAUAUAAAACUAUAUUUAUAUAUCUUUAAUUACUAUUUUUGUUUGUCCUAAUUAUACAUUUAUGUGGCAGAAAUAUAUUUCAUUAUCAGUAAUAUAGUGACAAUAUGUUUUAAUGGGAAUAUAUUAAAUAAAAUCAUGAUUUCUGUGUAUUCAUCAUGUAAAAUUUUAUAUUAACAUUUAUUAAUACUGUUGAACUGAAAAUGUAUAAAACUGAAUGAGUUACUGAUCCAUUUAUUUUAUAAUUCUUGUAUUCUUCUUGUUUAGCUAUUUUUUCAUUAUUCUUAAGUUACUUGUAAUAAAACUCAAUAUUAUUAACAUUGUAC
RNA transcript from Daktulosphaira vitifoliae (grape phylloxera), 4632 nucleotides. RefSeq lists it as uncharacterized. Lineage: Eukaryota; Metazoa; Arthropoda; Insecta; Hemiptera; Phylloxeridae. The record is from RefSeq and is a predicted model, not a curated record. The transcript has 5 exons.